RNAcentral lists this ribosomal RNA (832 nucleotides) under uncultured marine bacterium. RNAcentral's name for it is "bacterial SSU rRNA". It matches the Rfam family "Bacterial small subunit ribosomal RNA", at positions 57 to 937 of the family's 1533-position model. The record is from RNAcentral.
GCAAGUCGAACGCAGUAGCAAUACUGAGUGGCAAACGGGUGAGUAUAAUGUGGGAAUCUGCCUUUUGGUUUGGAAUAACACGGGGAAACUUGUGCUAAUACCGGAUAAGCCCUUACGGGGAAAGUUUUAACGCCGAAAGAUGAGCCUGCACUUGAUUAGCUAGUUGGUAAGGUAAAAGCUUACCAAGGCAACGAUCAAUAGCUGUUCUUAGAGGAAGACCAGCCACAUUGGGACUGAGACACGGCCCAGACUCCUACGGGAGGCAGCAGUGGGGAAUCUUGCACAAUGGGGGAAACCCUGAUGCAGCGAUGCCGCGUGAGUGAAGAAGGCCUUUGGGUUGUAAAACUCUUUCGUCGGGGAAGAAAAUGACUGUACCCGAAUAAGAAGGUCCGGCUAACUUCGUGCCAGCAGCCGCGGUAAUACGAAGGGACCUAGCGUAGUUCGGAAUUACUGGGCUUAAAGAGCUCGUAGGUGGUUAAAAAAGUUGAUGGUGAAAUCCCAAGGCUCAACCUUGGAACUGCCAUCAAAACUUUUUAGCUAGAGUGUGAUAGAGGUAAGUGGAAUUUCUAGUGUAGAGGUGAAAUUCGUAGAUACUAGAAAGAACACCAAAUGCGAAGGCAACUUACUGGGUCACUACUGACACUGAGGAGCGAAAGCAUGGGUAGCGAAGAGGAUUAGAUACCCUCGUAGUCCAUGCCGUAAACGAUGUGUGCUAGACGUUGGAAAUAUAUUUUUCAGUGUCGCAGCGAAAGCAUUAAGCACACCGCCUGGGGAGUACGACCGCAAGGUUAAAACUCAAAUGAAUUGACGGGGACCCGCACAAGCAGUGGAG